Monodelphis domestica (gray short-tailed opossum) is the source of this 2079-nucleotide long non-coding RNA. Lineage: Eukaryota; Metazoa; Chordata; Mammalia; Didelphimorphia; Didelphidae. The record is from Ensembl.
GGAAACAGGAAAGAGGUAGUGAGAAGGAGCCGGGCAGCUCAGGCACGGGUUGUGGCAGCAGGCACUAUGGGCUCCCUCCUCUUCUUCUUACAUUGUGUGGUAGGGGUCACCACCAGCAGCAUCAUGGGUCCAGAUGUCAACCACACAGAUCACUUAGUGAACAUCAAUAGCACAGAAAUCACAAGAGUGACCCCAGGAGGAAUGACAACUUCAGAGAGAAUCUUUGAGACUACUCAACUCUCUGAGACUUCAACUGUCACCCACACUCCCUUGAAAUCCAAAACAUCUUUGGCUUUUGAGACCUUGGCACAAGCCAGAACUACCUAUGAAGCUGAGAAGAGGAUUACAGAGUCCUUUCCCCCUAUGGAGACACUGAUAAUAAUGGAUGCCCUGGAUGAAACAGAGACCACAACCCUACUGGAGAGCACUAACCCCACUGGUCCCUCUGUAACAGUUGUCUCAGAAUCAGGGAUAGCCUUAGGCAAAACCCACAGCCAAGCUAAAACCUUGAUGGUGGCUUCUUCUACCAUGGAAGCAGAGAUGGCCACAGAGGAAACUCUUGUCCUAGAGGAAGCUUGGCUUGGAAUAAACAUCCUCCACAAAGCAGGCUGGAAACAAUUAAACAAGCCAGUGCUGUUAUCUCUUCCACCCUCCCAACAUCAUGGAAAACAUGCACACCACCUCACAGACCGCCAUGACUACUUAUACUGGACUUUCCCAGAAAACUAUAAAACUACUGUUAAGACUCCUAGUUUCACUGAAGGCAUGAGCACAGUGGAUAUUUCCAAAGAAUCAGAGACCUCAAACCCUUUUAGAACCAUUGUCUCUGAGGAGACCUCUGGGAUAAUUGUACCCCCAGAAACAAACACUGCCAUCACGGAAGAAAUAAUACCCUGUACAAUCCUGGAUCUGGUCACUGAGACAGCAGACACCAUAGAAAGAGAAGGAACUCUUAUGGAGACCACGACUCUCCCUGUAGCCUUGGUUACAGUCAGUCCCAUCACAGAAGCCACCAUACUGACAACCAACCUCAUCGAUACCUUCUCUACAGCUGGAAGUACCCAAGAAAUAAAGACAGCUACUGCUAUUACCUCAACCACGGUCUCUACCAACACAGAAGCAAAGACUUCAGCCCUUCUAACAGGCACGUCUGCUGAGGUCUUAGAUGGCAACAACUCACAGCCAAAGAGCAGAGGUGAGGAGACAACCUCAACUGGUGACUUCCCAGAAACAAUCAGGACUGGAGCUAAGAACACUUUUCCCCCUGAGACCUCAAUGACAAUUGACAGCUCUACAGAAGAAGGGAUGUUGUCCCUCUUAAAGACUAUUUUCUUUUCUGAGCCUUCAACUUCAUCUUCCUCAGUUGAAGAAGAGUCAAGUGCAGCUGUUGAGACCUUGACAACAGCCAACAUGAUCACCAUGGCAGUACCAACUGCAGUUGAGACCCCUGAUACCACAAUUCACACUGUAGAAAGUACAACCAAAACAGUAAAUGACUCAUUGAAUACAAUCUAUAUUCCUAUGACAGAAGAAACCAUGGCUCCAUUUGAGACAACUGUCUUCACUGAGGUCCCAAGUACAGUUACCAUCUCCCCAGGGGAAGGAUCAAAAGUAGCCAAGCUUACUACCUCUGCUAAGUUUUCCUAUAAAGUCGAUAUGACCACAGAAGGGACAACAGCUUCAGGAAUAAAUUCCUCCAUAGACAAGACUUUAACCUCCAUUGAGACCCCAGAAAUGAUCUCAACAACAGGAAAGCAAAUGACUACAAUGCAUGCUACUACUGCUCUGAUGGGUCAAAACACCAAAGCUGAUUCCAGUCAGGAUGGAGGCUUUCUCCUAUUACGGCUUAUUGUGUCUUCUUCCCUGGACCUCACUGACUUCAAGGUGGCAAAAGGACUCCUGAGCCAGCUUCAUCAAGAUCUGCAGGUCCAGGUCCCCUACACCCAGAUCUCCUUGCUGAAGGUCACCAGGGUCUGAGGAGUUGUUAGCAGCAGCCUGGAGAAGUCUCCAAUGCUUGGGAGAUGACUUCAGUCAAAGGAAGACAAUGCUACUAAUAAAGUAAUGUAAUGGUGGGCUACA